GACGGUAUGGUAUUGGCUUACCGUGGCAGUGACGGUUAACGGGGGAUUAGGGUUCGAUUCCGGAGAGGGAGCCUGAGAAACGGCUACCACAUCUAAGGAAGGCAGCAGGCGCGCAAAUUACCCAAUUCUAACAGCAUAAGAGAGGUAGUGACAAGAAAUAACAAUACAAGGCAGUUAAAAUGCUUUGUAAUUGGAAUGAUAGAAAUUUAAACACUUUUUAAAGUAUCAAUUGGAGGGCAAGUCUGGUGCCAGCAGCCGCGGUAAUUCCAGCUCCAAUAGCGUAUAUUAAAAUUGUUGCAGUUAAAAAGCUCGUAGUUGAAUUUCUGCUAAAAAUAACCGGUCUGCUUUUAACAAAAGUGGUAUCUUGGUGUGUUUUUAGCAAUAAUGUCCUUUGAAAUGUGUUUUACUUUGUUGUAAAAGAUAAUAUUCAGGAUUUUUACUUUGAGAAAAUUAGAGUGUUUCUAGCAGGCUAAUGUUUUGAAUACUGCAGCAUGGAAUAAUAAAAUAUGAUUUUGGUUCUACAUUGUUGGUUUUAAGAGCUGAAUUAAUGAUUGAUAGGAACAGUUGGGGGCAUUUGUAUUUAACUGUCAGAGGU
RNAcentral lists this ribosomal RNA (595 nucleotides) under Hepatozoon sp. RNAcentral describes it as "bacterial SSU rRNA". It matches the Rfam family "Eukaryotic small subunit ribosomal RNA", at positions 324 to 912 of the family's 1831-position model. Lineage: Eukaryota; Apicomplexa; Hepatozoidae. The record is from RNAcentral.